GAUGAACGCUGGCGGCGUGCUUAAUACAUGCGAGUCGAGCGAACAGACGAGGAGCUUGCUCCUUUGACGUUAGCGGCGGACGGGUGAGUAACACGUGGAUAACCUACUUAUAAGACUGGGAUAACUUCGGGAAACCGGAGCUAAUACCGGAUAAUAUCUUGCACCGCAUGGUUCAAUAGUGAAAGACGGCUUUGCUGUAACUAAUAGAUGGAUCCGAGCCGCAUUAGGUAGUUGGUACGGUAACGGCUUACCAAGGCGACGAUGCGUAGCCGACCUGAGGGGGUGAUCGGCCACACUGGAACUGAGACACGGUCCAUACUCCUACGGGAGGCAGCAGUAGGGAAUCUUCCGCAAUGGGCGAAAGCCUGACGGAGCAACGCCGCGUGAGUGAUGGAGGUCUUCGGAUCGUAAAACUCUGUUAUUAGGUAAGAACAAAUGUGUAAGUAACUAUGCACGUCUUGACGGUACCUAAUCAGAAAGCCACGGCUAACUACGUG
Molecule: ribosomal RNA, 497 nt
Filed under: uncultured bacterium
Lineage: Bacteria
Description: partial 16S ribosomal RNA
Rfam family: Bacterial small subunit ribosomal RNA
Source: RNAcentral